GUUUGAUGUUCUAACGUGGACCCGUUACCCGGGUUGCGGACAGUGUCUGGUGGGUAGUUUGACUGGGGCGGUCUCCUCCUAAAGAGUAACGGAGGAGCACGAAGGUUGGCUAAUCCUGGUCGGACAUCAGGAGGUUAGUGCAAUGGCAUAAGCCAGCUUGACUGCGAGCGUGACGGCGCGAGCAGGUGCGAAAGCAGGUCAUAGUGAUCCGGUGGUUCUGAAUGGAAGGGCCAUCGCUCAACGGAUAAAAGGUACUCCGGGGAUAACAGGCUGAUACCGCCCAAGAGUUCAUAUCGACGGCGGUGUUUGGCACCUCGAUGUCGGCUCAUCACAUCCUGGGGCUGAAGUAGGUCCCAAGGGUAUGGCUGUUCGCCAUUUAAAGUGGUACGCGAGCUGGGUUUAGAACGUCGUGAGACAGUUCGGUCCCUAUCUGCCGUGGGCGCUGGAGAACUGAGGGGGGCUGCUCCUAGUACGAGAGGACCGGAGUGGACGCAUCACUGGUGUUCGGGUUGUCAUGCCAAUGGCACUGCCCGGUAGCUAAAUGCGGAAGAGA
RNAcentral lists this ribosomal RNA (553 nucleotides) under Salmonella enterica. RNAcentral's name for it is "partial 23S ribosomal RNA". It matches the Rfam family "Bacterial large subunit ribosomal RNA", at positions 2212 to 2764 of the family's 2925-position model. Lineage: Bacteria; Pseudomonadati; Pseudomonadota; Gammaproteobacteria; Enterobacterales; Enterobacteriaceae. The record is from RNAcentral. RNAcentral also lists the same sequence under 1 other name.